RNAcentral lists this ribosomal RNA (260 nucleotides) under uncultured prokaryote. RNAcentral describes it as "partial 16S ribosomal RNA". It matches the Rfam family "Bacterial small subunit ribosomal RNA", at positions 524 to 782 of the family's 1533-position model. The record is from RNAcentral.
UACGUAGGGUGCGAGCGUUGUCCGGAAUUACUGGGCGUAAAGAGCUCGUAGGUGGUUUGUCGCGUCGUCUGUGAAAUUCCGGGGCUUAACCUCGGGCGUGCAGGCGAUACGGGCAAUACCUGAGUGCUGUAGGGGAGACUGGAAUUCCUGGUGUAGCGGUGGAAUGCGCAGAUAUCAGGAGGAACACCGAUGGCGAAGGCAGGUCUCUGGGCAGUAACUGACGCUGAGGAGCGAAAGCAUGGGUAGCGAACAGGAUUAGA